GCAGUUGCUUAACCAACUGAGCCACCUAGGCGCCCCGGCAUAUCAAGUUCUUGAUUGAUUUUUGUCCCUUACUGUUUGUCAUUGGAGAUGUCGAAGGGAC
Molecule: long non-coding RNA, 100 nt
Organism: Mustela erminea (ermine)
Lineage: Eukaryota; Metazoa; Chordata; Mammalia; Carnivora; Mustelidae
Exons: 3
Source: RefSeq, a predicted model, not a curated record